This 253-nucleotide ribosomal RNA is filed under the name uncultured bacterium. RNAcentral describes it as "partial 16S ribosomal RNA". It matches the Rfam family "Bacterial small subunit ribosomal RNA", at positions 524 to 776 of the family's 1533-position model. The record is from RNAcentral.
UACGUAGGUGACAAGCGUUGUCCGGAUUUACUGGGCGUAAAGAGCGCGCAGGCGGUCGAUCAAGUCGAGUGUGAAAGCCCCCGGCUCAACUGGGGAGGGUCAUUCGAUACUGAUCGACUCGAAGGCAGGAGAGGGUAGUGGAAUUCCCGGUGUAGUGGUGAAAUGCGUAGAUAUCGGGAGGAACACCAGUGGCGAAAGCGGCGACCUGGACAGGUACUGACACUCAACUGCGAAAGCGUGGGGAGCAAACAGG